Molecule: ribosomal RNA, 483 nt
Filed under: uncultured bacterium
Lineage: Bacteria
Description: SSU rRNA
Rfam family: Bacterial small subunit ribosomal RNA
Source: RNAcentral
GGCUUAGAGUUUGAUCCUGGCUCAGAUUGAACGCUGGCGGCAUGCCUUACACAUGCAAGUCGAACGGUAACAGGUCUUCGGACGCUGACGAGUGGCGAACGGGUGAGUAAUACAUCGGAACGUGCCCAGUCGUGGGGGAUAACUACUCGAAAGAGUAGCUAAUACCGCAUACGAUCUGAGGAUGAAAGCGGGGGACCUUCGGGCCUCGCGCGAUUGGAGCGGCCGAUGGCAGAUUAGGUAGUUGGUGGGAUAAAAGCUUACCAAGCCGACGAUCUGUAGCUGGUCUGAGAGGACGACCAGCCACACUGGGACUGAGACACGGCCCAGACUCCUACGGGAGGCAGCAGUGGGGAAUUUUGGACAAUGGGCGAAAGCCUGAUCCAGCAAUGCCGCGUGCAGGAUGAAGGCCUUCGGGUUGUAAACUGCUUUUGUACGGAACGAAAAAGCUUCUCCUAAUACGANAGGCCCAUGACGGACCGUAAG